This 22-nucleotide microRNA is filed under the name Drosophila melanogaster (fruit fly). Its description in RNAcentral is "dme-miR-955-3p". Its record names the gene dme-miR-955-3p. The record is from miRBase by way of RNAcentral. Lineage: Eukaryota; Metazoa; Arthropoda; Insecta; Diptera; Drosophilidae. RNAcentral also lists the same sequence under 1 other name.
CAUUCAAUUUCUGAACGGUAGA